GGACCUCUAUCGAAAA
Molecule: ribosomal RNA, 16 nt
Filed under: Orthomnion dilatatum
Lineage: Eukaryota; Viridiplantae; Streptophyta; Bryopsida; Bryales; Mniaceae
Description: partial 28S ribosomal RNA
Source: RNAcentral